GUUCAGUUUAGUACUCUGGUACCUGGUUCUGGUUGAGGUUAGUACUAGUUCCAUUACCUGGUUCUGGUUGAGGUUAGUACUCUGGUAAGAGGUUCUGGGUUAGUUUAGUACUCUGGUAGCAGGUUCUGGUUGAGGUUAGUCCUAGUUCCAGUACCUGGUUCUGGUUGAGGUUAGUACUCUGGUACCAGGUUCCGGUUGAGGUUAGUCCUAGUUCCAGUACCUGGUUCUGGUUGAGGUUAGUUCUCUGGUAAGAGGUUCUGGGUUAGUUUAGUACUCUGGUAGCAGGUUCUGGUUGAGGUUAGUCCUAGUUCCAGUACCUGGUUCUGGUUGAGGUUAGUACUCUGGUACCAGGUUCCGGUUGAGGUUAGUCCUAGUUCCAGUACCUGGUUCUGGUUGAGGUU
Molecule: long non-coding RNA, 401 nt
Organism: Gadus macrocephalus (Pacific cod)
Lineage: Eukaryota; Metazoa; Chordata; Actinopteri; Gadiformes; Gadidae
Exons: 3
Source: RefSeq, a predicted model, not a curated record